UACGUAGGGACCAAGCGUUGUUCGGAUUUACUGGGCGUAAAGGGCGCGUAGGCGGCGUGUUAAGUCAGCUGUGAAAUCUCCAAGCUUAACUUGGAACGGUCAGCUGAUACUGAUGUGCUAGAGUGCAGAAGGGGCAAUCGGAAUUCUUGGUGUAGCGGUGAAAUGCGUAGAUAUCAAGAGGAACACCUGUGGUGUAGACGGCUUUCUGGACCAUAGCUGACGCUGAGACACGAAAGCGUGGGUAGCAAACAGG
This 253-nucleotide ribosomal RNA is filed under the name uncultured bacterium. RNAcentral's name for it is "partial 16S ribosomal RNA". It matches the Rfam family "Bacterial small subunit ribosomal RNA", at positions 524 to 776 of the family's 1533-position model. The record is from RNAcentral.